AAUAGCUCUUGUUGCUUGCCUUUUAACAAUAAUUGUUAUUAUUUUGGUUUAAUUAGAGAGAAUGACUCAUUCUGACAAAUAAAUAAUUGAGUUUUACUCAAAUUUUAACACUUCUGUAUAGACUAAUUAUUUAAUUAAAAUCCCUAUUCAACAUAAAACACUGAUAAUAAAUGUUUGACUAAUGUUACAUGUGUGUUCAGGUAGGCUACAUGUACUGUAUAUAGUGAGUACAAUUCCUCUUGUUCUUAUAUAGAAUGGUUCCAAAAAUAGACAAUUUUGUGGAGGAUGUUGUCCCUCUCUACAGUCUCUCAGAAUUUAGAAGUUAUUUCAGGCUUUCCAGAGAACAAGUGGAGGAUGUCAUCACUACCCUUGGUCCUGUGUAUAUGAAUUUACAACAGACCAAACUGCCACUCACGAACAGUGUUCUUGCCUGCCUUUGGACAUUGGUGAAUCAGGAGUCAUAUCGUGGGGUGGCAGAUAGAUUUAACAUGUCAAAAUCCACUCUUGCCAAGCAUCUCCAUGAGUUGUGUUACAAUAUUAACACAAACAUGGCCCACCACAUAUCCUGGCCCAGAGGUCAAAGGCUGGAGAUGUCAAAGUUAGGGUUUGACACAGCAGGUUUCCCCAACACUGUAUGUGCAGUAGAUGGGUGUCACAUUCCUAUAAUGAGACCCCACUGUGAUAAUCCCCUAGCAUACAUGAAGGUUGAGGUUUAGGGGUGCCGGCGACCUAGUGGAGGUAGUGGGACAUGGAAUAGGAGGUUGGAGAAGCUUUGCAGCACAAGCUGGGCCACUGAGGAGAGCUGUUUGGAGAGAAGAUUGUAGAUGUGCUGAUACUUUCUCCAUGACAGAGGAAAGGAACAUUUGAUCUGGGGGGA
Cyprinus carpio (common carp) is the source of this 877-nucleotide long non-coding RNA. RefSeq lists it as uncharacterized. Lineage: Eukaryota; Metazoa; Chordata; Actinopteri; Cypriniformes; Cyprinidae. The transcript is spliced from 3 exons. The record is from RefSeq and is a predicted model, not a curated record.